GGGAAAAGGUACAUGACAUUUUAAUCUGUGUUAUGGGAAAAGGUACAUGACAUUAUAAUCUGUGUUAUGGGAAAAGGUACAUGACAUUUUAAUCUGUGUUAUGGGAAAAGGUACAUGACAUUUUAAUCUGUGUUAUGGGAAAAGGUACAUGACAUUUUAAUCUGUGUUAUGGGAAAAGGUACAUGACAUUUUAAUCUGUGUUAUGGGAAAAGGUACAUGACAUUUUAAUCUGUGUUAUGGGAAAAGGUACAUGACAUUUUAAUCUGUGUUAUGGGAAAAGGUACAUGACAUUUUAAUCUGUGUUAUGGGAAAAGGUACAUGACAUUUUAAUCUGUGUUAUGGGAAAAGGUACAUGACAUUUUAAUCUGUGUUAUGGAGAAAUGUACAUGACAUUUUAAUAUGUUUUAUGGUGAAAUGUACAUGACAUUUUAAUCUGUGUUAUGGAGAAAUGUACAUGACAUUUUAAUCUCGGUUAUGAAGAAAGGUACAUGACAUUUUAAUCUGUGUUAUGGAGAAAUGUACAUGACAUUUUAAUCUGUGUUAUGGAGAAAUGUACAUGACAUUUUAAUCUCGGUUAUGAAGAAAGGUACAUGACAUUUUAAUCUGUGUUAUGGAGAAAUGUACAUGACAUUUUAAUCUGUGUUAUGGAGAAAUGUACAUGACAUUUUAAUCUGUGUUAUGGAGAAAUGUACAUGACAUUUUAAUCUGUGUCUGUAUUUCCUCUCUCUCUGAUGAUUUAUGUUGGUCUCUGGAUCCCUCAUUACCAUAAGGCUUGUCCUACUUCCCAAAUGGCACCCUAUUCCCUAUAUAGUGCACUAGUAUCAUCAGAGCCCUAUGGACACUAUUCCCUAUAUAGUGCACUAACGUUGCUCAGCUGAAGGAGACAGGAGCAACACUACACAUGUUGGAGAGGCCUCCAGAUGUAUUGCUCUCUCUAGCUUCCCUUACUUUCUCUCUCUCUCCCCCCUCUCUCUCUCUUUCUCUCCCUCUCUCUCCC
Molecule: long non-coding RNA, 997 nt
Organism: Oncorhynchus keta (chum salmon)
Lineage: Eukaryota; Metazoa; Chordata; Actinopteri; Salmoniformes; Salmonidae
Exons: 3
Source: RefSeq, a predicted model, not a curated record